AAAAGAGAACAGUGGCAGUAUCGUAGCCAAUGAGGUUUAUCCGAGGCGCGAUUAUUGCUAAUUAAAAGAGAACAGAUUAUUUGAGAAGUACACAUGGGAUGUUAGGUGGAAUGUAAUUCUCUAUAAAAGACACAUAUU
This is a small nuclear RNA of Neogale vison (American mink), 138 nucleotides long. RefSeq annotates it as U4 spliceosomal RNA. The record is from RefSeq and is a predicted model, not a curated record. The transcript has a single exon. NCBI's taxonomy places the organism in Eukaryota, Metazoa, Chordata, Mammalia, Carnivora, Mustelidae.